AGGGCACCACCAGGAGUGGAGCCUGCGGCUUAAUUUGACUCAACACGGGAAAACUCACCCGGCCCGGACACUGGAAGGAUUGACAGAUUGAGAGCUCUUUCUUGAUUCAGUGGGUGGUGGUGCAUGGCCGUUCUUAGUUGGUGGAGUGAUUUGUCUGGUUAAUUCCGAUAACGAACGAGACUCUAGCCUAUUAAAUAGAUCGUUGGCUUACAAACGCCGGCGAGACUUCUUAGAGGGACAGGCGGCGAUUCAGCCGCACGAAACAGAGCAAUAACAGGUCUGUGAUGCCCUCAGAUGUCCGGGGCCGCACGCGCGCUACACUGAAGUGAUCAGCGUGCAUUUUGAAACCUACUCUGUCAAGAGUGGGGAACCCAAUGAACCUUCUUCGUGAUUGGGAUAGGGGAUUGUAAUUAUUCCCCUUGAACGAGGAAUUCCCAGUAAGCGCGAAUCAUAAGUUCGCGCUGAUUACGUCCCUGCCCUUUGUACACACCGCCCGUCGCUACUACCGAUUGAAUGUUU
This 519-nucleotide ribosomal RNA is filed under the name uncultured eukaryote. RNAcentral describes it as "SSU rRNA". It matches the Rfam family "Eukaryotic small subunit ribosomal RNA", at positions 1161 to 1698 of the family's 1831-position model. The record is from RNAcentral.